This 465-nucleotide ribosomal RNA is filed under the name uncultured Klebsiella sp. RNAcentral describes it as "bacterial SSU rRNA". It matches the Rfam family "Bacterial small subunit ribosomal RNA", at positions 338 to 795 of the family's 1533-position model. The record is from RNAcentral. Lineage: Bacteria; Pseudomonadati; Pseudomonadota; Gammaproteobacteria; Enterobacterales; Enterobacteriaceae.
CCUACGGGCGGCUGCAGUGGGGAAUAUUGCACAAUGGGCGCAAGCCUGAUGCAGCCAUGCCGCGUGUGUGAAGAAGGCCUUCGGGUUGUAUAGCACUUUCAGCGGGGAGGAAGGCGUUAAGGUUAAUAACCUUAUCGAUUGACGUUACCCGCAGAAGAAGCACCGGCUAACUCCGUGCCAGCAGCCGCGGUAAUACGGAGGGUGCAAGCGUUAAUCGGAAUUACUGGGCGUAAAGCGCACGCAGGCGGUCUGUCAAGUCGGAUGUGAAAUCCCCGGGCUCAACCUGGGAACUGCAUUCGAAACUGGCAGGCUAGAGUCUUGUAGAGGGGGGUAGAAUUCCAGGUGUAGCGGUGAAAUGCGUAGAGAUCUGGAGGAAUACCGGUGGCGAAGGCGGCCCCCUGGACAAAGACUGACGCUCAGGUGCGAAAGCGUGGGGAGCAAACAGGAUUAGAUACCCUUGUAGUC